UGUCAGCUCCUGCCUCACACUGGCCUGUUGA
Molecule: non-coding RNA, 31 nt
Filed under: Homo sapiens (human)
Lineage: Eukaryota; Metazoa; Chordata; Mammalia; Primates; Hominidae
Source: RNAcentral